This 298-nucleotide long non-coding RNA is filed under the name Lathyrus oleraceus (garden pea). RNAcentral's name for it is "Pisum sativum (pea) long non-coding RNA (PSAT_LNC011356)". Lineage: Eukaryota; Viridiplantae; Streptophyta; Magnoliopsida; Fabales; Fabaceae. The record is from RNAcentral.
CAAUAGAAUAGAGUUCAUCCGGCACUUGCCCUUCCAAUAAGUUACCAUUCAAUAACACAAGUUGCAAACUUGAAGAAGCUAUACUAUCUGGAAUUGAGCCUGUUAAUUGAUUGUUGGACAAGUCCAGGUGUAUUAGGGAUUUUUGACCAAGGCCAAACGGUACUUCACCCAUCAAUAAAUUAGAGCUCAAGUUCAGGCUUACCAAGUCCGACAAAAGACUAAUCUGGUCGCUUAUGAACCCUUUCAAGCCUUACAACCCGUUAUUGGAUUACUUAGCUCUUGUUGCUCUGAAAGCCAG